AGCGAACGCUGGCGGCAGGCCUAACACAUGCAAGUCGAACGAACCUUUCGGGGUUAGUGGCGGACGGGUGAGUAACACGUGGGAACGUGCCUUUAGGUUCGGAAUAACUCAGGGAAACUUGUGCUAAUACCGAAUGUGCCCUUCGGGGGAAAGAUUUAUCGCCUUUAGAGCGGCCCGCGUCUGAUUAGCUAGUUGGUUGAGGUAAUGGCUCACCAAGGCGACGAUCAGUAGCUGGUCUGAGAGGAUGAUCAGCCACAUUGGGACUGAGACACGGCCCAAACUCCUACGGGAGGCAGCAGUGGGGAAUCUUGCGCAAUGGGCGAAAGCCUGACGCAGCCAUGACGCGUGAAUGAUGAAGGUCUUAGGAUUGUAAAAUUCUUUCAACGGGGACGAUAAUGACGGUACCCGGAGAAGAAGCCCCGGCUAACUUCGUG
RNAcentral lists this ribosomal RNA (434 nucleotides) under uncultured bacterium. Its description in RNAcentral is "partial 16S ribosomal RNA". It matches the Rfam family "Bacterial small subunit ribosomal RNA", at positions 29 to 507 of the family's 1533-position model. The record is from RNAcentral.